GUCGCCGGCAUUGCCUGCCAGUUCCAGGGCACGCUCCAGGGCGCGUUCGGUGAUCACUGUCAGCUUGCUCAUUGGGGGCGUUUCC
RNAcentral lists this small RNA (85 nucleotides) under Xanthomonas campestris pv. campestris. RNAcentral's name for it is "sRNAXcc-9". Lineage: Bacteria; Pseudomonadati; Pseudomonadota; Gammaproteobacteria; Lysobacterales; Lysobacteraceae. The record is from RNAcentral.